Molecule: ribosomal RNA, 119 nt
Filed under: Ailuropoda melanoleuca (giant panda)
Lineage: Eukaryota; Metazoa; Chordata; Mammalia; Carnivora; Ursidae
Source: RNAcentral
GUCUACGGCCAUACCACCCUGAACGCGCCCGAUCUCGUCUGAUCUCGGAAGCUAAGCAGGGUCAGACCUGGUUAGUAAUUGGAUGGGAGACCGCCUGGGAAUACCGGGUGCUGUAGGCU